This 948-nucleotide long non-coding RNA is filed under the name Setaria italica (foxtail millet). Its description in RNAcentral is "long non-coding RNA (SITA_LNC004819)". The record is from RNAcentral. Lineage: Eukaryota; Viridiplantae; Streptophyta; Magnoliopsida; Poales; Poaceae.
AGUUGUGGAGAACUUAUAUUAGACACGAGAUCAUACAAGAAUCGAGACCUUGUCUGUUUAUUACAUCCUCUGUCUUGUUCCUAAGAAGAUCAAAGGGCAUCUUGCCACGGGUACGUACUUGUGGCGCCGUGCGAGGUAACAUCAUCGAUCGGUGCCCUCCGAUGCUCCUCCGUUGGUUGGUCACGAACGAGCUGAGCGAGGUCACGAAAUGAUCCCCAUUUCCAGUUUUGUAGGGCCUCAUUAAACAAACUCUAAAAGAAGAGGAUGCAACAUCCUCCUGUUCAGCUGAACAACCACGGGCGGACAGGAGAUGCGAUUUCGAGAAUGGCACAUGCAGGUGAGUGCGUGUGCUGUCUUCUCAGUGCCUGUGGGCUGCUUGGGCGGUGUCCUGGUGCAAGCUCUUCAAUUCCUAAGAUCAUUUCCUUUCCUUCUUGGUAGGUGCUCGUGAACAAACUCCGAAAGAGAAGAUGCGAUGCCCCUCUUUUGCUCAAUCAUAGAUAGGACAUGUACAAUGCAACAUAUAAUCAUAAUACGUAACCGUAGAAAUAAAAUGAAGUUGAUGAUGGUGCGUUGAUAUAGUUUUCUUUGUACAAGAUGAUGCCGGUGCCUAUAUAACUUGGCGGUGGUUGUUAGCAAGGAAGUCGUAAUCUGCUACCCCUUCUUCCGCGGGCAAGUUAAGAUCAAAUGCAUGAUCUACUUCAUCUGUUCGAACAAAGGAUGAUGGAGGAUAAACAUAGUGAAUGAAAGAUGCGCAAGAGAUUUUUUUUUUAAAAAAAGAAGAGACUAAACACUGACCUUCUUCCAUCUCUUCCUGAAACAAUGGUUCAUCCAAAUCAAAGACAUCUUCUGCGAUAGCAUCCCAGUCCACUGGAGCAUUAGGAUCAAUUGGAUCAUCCUCGACAGGCUCAUUGAGGUCACAAACAAAACCUAUGUUUGGCUCUACCAUUG